AAGGGUGUGGCUCAGUGUUUGAGCACAUGAUUAGCAUGCACAAGGUCCUGGGUUCAAUCCCCAGUACCUCUC
Molecule: transfer RNA, 72 nt
Filed under: Camelus bactrianus (Bactrian camel)
Lineage: Eukaryota; Metazoa; Chordata; Mammalia; Artiodactyla; Camelidae
Also listed under: 1 other name
Rfam family: tRNA
About the family: Transfer RNA (tRNA) molecules are approximately 80 nucleotides in length. Their secondary structure includes four short double-helical elements and three loops (D, anti-codon, and T loops).
Source: Rfam by way of RNAcentral